Molecule: long non-coding RNA, 1365 nt
Filed under: Cricetulus griseus (Chinese hamster)
Lineage: Eukaryota; Metazoa; Chordata; Mammalia; Rodentia; Cricetidae
Description: lncRNA (ENSCGRG00000024171.1)
Source: RNAcentral
CAUCUUACAUUCUGGCUUUGCGCCGGGAGACUGCACUGCUCAUGCCAGAGACCCGCUGAAAGGUCACCCCAGAAUGGCUGUGUUGGGAGGGGCUUGCUUAGCAGUGUGGGUCCUGAACUGUGAUCUUUAACUCUCCACUUUGGGGGGUAAAAGCAAGAGUAAAGAAUUCCAAAGGAGCCCCAAAUUCAGAUUUUUGGAAUGAUAAUAUAACCAGAAGUUUUUUUUUUCCUCUCUCUGAAUUACUGUAAACAGCAAGGAGACACAGCCCAUGCAGUUCUUUUAAAUAAGCAGUGAGAAGCCCCUGUGUCUUCCUGGAGGUUUGUAAGCAGAUGUUGCUGAGCCUGCAUCAGACUGGGUUUCUACAUCAUUUAAUCACUUGUCUUGACAUAUCACUUCCGGACACUGCUUGAACCUGUGCAGAAUGAGUUGAGGAGUUUUUUCUGCUACAAAUCCAAGUCCUUGGAUGCCACAUACCAGCAUGUGAUGAAGACCAGGGGUCCUCUAAGAAGACCAUGAGCUGGGAUUGCCCAAUCUUAAAGUUUUGUCCUCCAAAACUCUCCGGAGCCGGGGAGGGACAGAGUGAGCAUCGCAGUGGAACAGAGCCUGGAGGCUUGACUGGAGGGGACUGGAGUCAAUCUCUGGCCUCUGUCCCCAAGACUCAUUACAGCAUCUGUUCCUCUGGGACCUGGGUAAAAACCACAAAAUAAAUGUCAGUGACUUCAACAUUUCUCUCAGAAUCUGUGCAGGCUAUGGUGAUAUCUAGAUUCAACGUACUGCCCUAGAUGUACAAGGAAGAACCCUUUAUAUACUGUCUAGUUUUUGGGGAAAGAAAACAGCUGCUAACCAGGCUUGGGGCGUUACAGAUGAGGGUCUUUGGAACACUGAUCUUUGCUCCAGAGCUGUUGCUGAAUCUUUGCUCCAGAGCUGUUGCCGAGAGUAAGAUGGGAUGAAACCUUCUAUUCCAGUAGGAGACACCAAGUCACAGGCUACACUGUUAUAAAAAUAAGCCUUUUCCUCCAGAAUAUAUUGUAGACAAUUGACACAGAUUAAUGAGGCUGAGAUUUUUUUAAUCUAAUACCAUUUUUUAAAGUAGCUUAAAAGUUUUCAUCUAACUCAACCUCACACAUAUUCUGUUACCCACUAAUUUGGUGGCUUAGUGGCUGGAAACAGUAUUUGCUAAAUGAGAGUUUGCCUGCUCUGGUUCAGAAAAAACAGUUACAAUUUAGCAAGCUCUUCUACAAAAGUGAAUUUAUUCUAGUUUCAGUGAUAAAUUAUCUUCGAUUUUAUGAACUGAUGCUGAUGCUGGGCAAUUUUUAAUUUAUUAGAAAAUUUCAAAAUUAUAUUUAUGUGUGUAUGUGUGGGAAG